CACUGCACCACCUUGAUCAGGCCUAACCAUGCCUGAUUCUAGAAGCAAGGCAGGAUUGGGCCUAGUUAGGAUUUGGUUGGGAAGACUACUUGAGAAGACUGGGUGGUGCAGUCU
RNAcentral lists this ribosomal RNA (114 nucleotides) under Phascolarctos cinereus (koala). Lineage: Eukaryota; Metazoa; Chordata; Mammalia; Diprotodontia; Phascolarctidae. The record is from RNAcentral.